Molecule: long non-coding RNA, 478 nt
Organism: Girardinichthys multiradiatus
Lineage: Eukaryota; Metazoa; Chordata; Actinopteri; Cyprinodontiformes; Goodeidae
Exons: 2
Source: RefSeq, a predicted model, not a curated record
ACCAAUCACUGACUGUUUGUGUUUUCUCUUCUGCCUCUUAGGAUGACGGUUUCUGCCGAAGAUUCUGUGGUUUUUUUGUGCCUCUGGUUAAUUCUUGUCAUGUUCUGAGGAUCAAGGUAAUUGAAGCCUCAAUUGUCUCAGCUGUGAGCCUCCUCUCUGCCUCCUUCCCGGACCCAGGCUUUUUAGAUCAGUAUUCACCUGUUUCUGAGAAUCAUUCACCUGCCUGUCCACCCUCCCACGGAAAUACCAUUUUAUGGAAAAGGAUCAAGAAACAAAGAAACACUGAGCCUGAAAAGCCUGGAAACACUUUCCCCUUCAACUGCACCCAUCUGCUAACCUCAACCAUCAUGGAACAGAAUUAUUCCUCCCUGGGUUUUUCUGAGAGUCCUGCCUUCUGAAACCCCAAUCCUAUCGCUGAUCCAGUCCUGGUUCCAGAUCACAUUUGCUCAUGUAAAAUCUAAUAAACUGUUAAAACGUU